CAUUCUCUUAGCUUAUACUGCAUUUAAUUGCUCAUUAAAUUUGAUUUGGGUACGGCCUCGAUCACCAUGCUUUCAUUGAAGAUAACUAGUGUUUUCUUCAUAAAUGGGACAUCCAAAAUGACCUAACCGCUCAAGUUUCCAUAUGCUGGGAAAUCAUUUAUAGUGCAAAACAACAUUGCACGCAAACGAAAAGUUUCUUGAACAUCUGAAUCGAUGACGUCGACCCCUUCUUCCCACAACAUUUUCAAAUCAUCUGUUGAUAGGGGGAGCUAUGUAAUCUAAUAGAUUAGUUUUCGAGCAACUUUCGAAAAACCAGCUCUGGUGCCAAUUGUAAGAAUAGUUAGGCCUUAUUUAUCCAACCAAGAGGGGAGGUGAAUUAGUUCUUAUUGAAAAUAUGUUCUUUUAUUAAUCUUUGGAAAAUCUUUAUAACUUUCUUAAACACAUAAGCCAAAAAAGAAUAAAAUGCAAUAAAAGAGUAAAGGUAUAGAAAAACCAACACAUAUUUUUAUACUGGUUCGGCCUCAAUGCCUACAUCCAAUCUCUUUCAAUCAACAUGAGAUUGAAAGUUCUUUCACUACGAAGAUUGAGUUAUACAACAAGACCUAUACAGACCCUCUCUCAAUGUAAUUUCCUCUCCAACUCCAAAUCUAAUAUAGGAACAAAUACAACAUAGAAAAUAUUGUUGGAAAACAGGUAGGCUUCUUUAAACACCAAGAGGGGGGUGAAUUGGUGAUGUUUCAAAAAUAUGUUCUUUUCGCAAUCUUGCAAACAAAGUCUAAAGCUUUUUCAAGUUUCUUGAAAUGCAAGUGUUGACUCACUCGCAAGUGUACCAGAUCGUUCAAGUAAUAUAAUAGGUAAAGCUCGAUAUUGUUCUUCCCAAGAGACUCGAAAGGCCUUAUCGUUCAUGUGAAUUAAAAUCGUAAGACUUGUAGAAAAAGAUUAAUUGUUGCGGAUGCAAAGACAGAAAAUAAACAUGCAAUGUGAUUGAUUCAAUUGACGAAAAAGACUAUGGAUGAAUGGAGUUGUUGGGGGUUGACAAUUUCAUCUUAUAUGCUCCCUCUUAUCUACUCCUCUUGUUUAAUGUGCUUGAUUAUCUAAUUGUUAUGCAAACUUUCUUGGCCUACCCUUAACCCGAUCCCUCGGCGAAAAGAGCCUAUUACUAAUUACCGACUUGCUAUCCCUAGCCUCCCCUAG
RNAcentral lists this long non-coding RNA (1194 nucleotides) under Vigna radiata. Its description in RNAcentral is "long non-coding RNA (VRAD_LNC017272)". Lineage: Eukaryota; Viridiplantae; Streptophyta; Magnoliopsida; Fabales; Fabaceae. The record is from RNAcentral.